UAUUAUUACUUCACUUUAGUUUCCAUCUUCCUCCGAAAGGAGGCGGAGGUCAAGUCAAAUACGAUCUACGGAUCUAGGAGUUUUCUUGAAGUUUUCGUGUUGGUCUUUGGAUCAGGAAGGUGAUGAUCUCUGUGAAGUGUCUGGAUUCAGGUUUUGGGUCUGUUACUAUGAAUUUGUUUUAUCUGUUUAUGUUGACUUUUCUCCUGGAACUGUGAUUCUUCGAUGAUCCAGAUUUAAUGUUAUUCUCUGUAACUGAAUCGAGAGAGGUCUCUUACGAUCUAAGGUUCCAUAAGGGAUUACUAAAAGAUGUGAGUCUGUUUAUCUUUUGUCUUCUGGUUUUAGAUGGAAGAUUGUUGUUGGAUUUUUAGACAACUCCAUUUUCGAUUCUAUGUCUUUAAUAGGUAGAAGGAGGUGAUGAUUGUGGAUCGAAGUUUGAAGCGGAAUCUGGGUUUUUCUUUCACGGUUGUAAAUAUGUAUGUUGGAGUAUAUAAUUGUGGUUCUUUUAUGAUCUUAAUUUAGUGAUCUAAAUUCUAAGUGGAUCUGAAUUUAAUGAUCUGAUUGUUACUAGAUCGAGAUCGAAGGAUAUGAUGGAUGUGUGUGAAGUUAAGGUGGUGGCGGAUUCAGGUUUUUGGUCAAAGAUCGGUUAUCUUUUUAUGUUUCAUGCUGUACAUAUGCUAUUGUUUAGCUGCAGAUUUUGAUGAUGAAAAUUUCUUUGGUAGUAGAUCUAAGGGAAGGUUUAUAUGUGAAGGGAUUUAUUCAAGGAGUUUCAUACCUUCUGGAGGCGAGGUUUGGUGAAGAUACUGCUGUACAUUUUUUUUUUGGAGAAGAUUUAAGUAAUUUGAAGAACUCAUUUUUUUUUUUAUGACUCAAUGGGAUUAUCAUUCUUCAAUUCAAUUUUUGUGUAGACACUAUUAAACAGUGGAGGACCUUAGCGGACUACACCAGCUGCAUUCUAAGAAUAAGUUCUUUUUUUCGCGCUCUUAAGUUUGUUGUACAUGCUAAUUUAAACUUUAUGAUGUCUAUGUCUUUAUAUUGUUUAAUUUGUUGUUCAAUAGGUUUGCGUUUGACAACAAUUGUUGAACAGGGGAAGUAUUUAUGAAUUUCCCCAGAGUUCCUGUAAUUUGUAAAUGACAUUGCUGAUUUCUUAUGUUACUUUGUGUGGAUAAAGGUUACGUUGAGUUUUGGCUUUUUUUUUUUUUUUUUGCAGUCGUCUAUAUGUCUAUAUUUUUGGGUCCAUGUCUGCUCUUGUGAAUGCUAAUUCUUCUAUUAUUCUACUGAUAAGGGUGUUCAUUGUGACUGUUAAAUUGACUGGUUUUUGUAAGCAUCAUCUUUGAUUCUCGCACACCACAUCUGCCUUUGUCAAAAUUUGGAGCGGAUUCUAGUAUAUAACUGCGAUUAUUUGGUAAAUAACUGCGAUUCUGCAAAGUAUGAUUGUUAUUAGAUUGACUUUAUUGAAGAAUAGAUGUUUCCUUGGACUCUAUAGAAGUUGUAGCCAUGGAUUGAAGGUGGUGGUUCAGGAAUUGGUGUGGAUUCAGGUUUUAGGGCAAACAUUGUUAUCCUUUUCUGUUUCAUUGCCUUGUACUCUAGCUGUAAUCUUUGAUAUGAAACUGCCCUAUUCUUAUUUAUUUGGUAGUAGAUCGGAAGGAAGAUCUCUCAAUGUGAAGGGAUUUAUGUAAAGAGUCUUUUCUUAUCCUUCUGGAGGUAGGGUUUGGUGAGGAUACUUACUGCUCUACUUUGUUUUUGGAGUAGCUAUUCAUUUGGUGGAAUAUAAGAAGUAUGAAGAUCUAAUAUGAAAAAUUGAAGCUUUAUAUGGUUCAGUUGGGUUAUUUCUUAUUAUCCUCCAGUUCCAAUUUUGUCUGUUAAGUAGGGUUGUUGAUGAGAUAGUGUGAUGAUGAUCCUAGUCGCCUUCAAGGAUUGAUGCAAAUUCAGGUUUUUAGGGCUCUAUAGCUCUAGUUAAUUUUUUUUCUGUGUUUCUUUGCCCUUUCUAUUGUGGUGCAUACCUGAAGAAGAAAUUAUUCGUAGGAGUUGAAUUGAGAGGUGAAGGAUAUUUUUGGGCAAUAUGGUUGCUUCCAAAGAAUAGUUUCGACUCAACUCUCAAUGCUGGCGCUGGCAUCAUAUUGUGAUGUGUUGAGUAGUUAUUUGGUUACUGAAUAGAUUUCCUUGACCAAAUCUUAUCUGGUUUAUAGUUCAACAGGGGUAAACCCUUAUUUCUCUGUUGAUGUGUUGCGUUGUUUUCAGGAGAGCCAGAGGAUUUGGAAAGGCAGCUGUUCGUUGACAUAGUUGGAUAGAUUGGUUUCCUUGCUGGGAUGGGAAACAUGACUGUACUUUGCUUCUAGAUGUUUAUAUAAGAUUUUAAUUUCUUUGCUCGGGAAAGAAUGUUUGGUUGCUAUCUGUCUUUUGACUCAUCUUAUGUUUCCCAGCUGACUAAUAAGUGACUGUUCCUGUGAUUUGCAGUCAGGGUGCUUGAUUCCGUUUACUGCAGUUAUUUCUCGUGCAUGGUAUCGUGACUUGUCCCCAUAUUUGAGUCUGAUGCAUGUACUUUCCAUACCUCUAGUUCACUCUCUCUGCCUGCUACUUGGAGGAACGUUUUUUUCUCCUAUGUUGAGGUUUUCUUUUAUUUUAGGUUUGUUGGCAUUCAGUUAUUGGUCAAGGAAUGUGUCGAAUUGAUUGGCAUGCUGAGCUUGUCCUAGCUGUGGCAGAGGCCCAAGGAGUGGUUUAAUAUCUUAUUUAACUUCUUCAUUUAUUUUCUACGAUAUACACCAUGGCUUUGUGGUUUUCAGUUAUUUAAAUUGAAAUGCAUGUUCGAUGUUGUGCUUUGGGUUUCAGAGAGCCUGAGGAUUUUGAAAGGGAGCUUGUUCUUUGUCAUAGUUGGAUGGAUUGGUUUCUUUACUGCGAUGUGAAACAUCGACUGUAUUUCUACCUUUGCUUUCAGGGGAUUAUAUCAGUAUUUAGUUUCUUUGCUUGAAAAAUAACUUUUGGAUGCAAUCUGUCUUUUAUCUCUUCUCAUGUUUCCCCCCUUGAGUAAGAAGUGAUUGAUCCUGUGAUUUAUUUGCUUUCAGGCUGCUUGCUUCCAUCUAUUGCGGCGUCUAAAAGUGCGGUUCAAUAUUAAAUAAAGUUGGACAAAACUAUUCCUGAAGUGCACGAGCUUGGUUUUGUGUCGUCUUUUAUUUCUUUACUCUCUCUGCAUGCUACUUGGUGGAACGUCGUUUUUCUUAUAUUGUGGUUUUCUCUUGUUCAAGCUUCACUGGAAUUCAUUAAUUCGUCGAGGAAUGUAUCUGAUUGGCUGCUGAACUUGUUUUAGUUGUGGCAGAAGCUCAAUGGGUGGUUUUGUAUCUUAGAUAUAUUCUUCAACUAUUUUCUUUGAUACAAUACAGCGCUGUGGUUUUCAUUUACAUGUCUGAUGCUGUGCUUUGGAUUUCAGGAGAGCCAGUGGAUUUCGUAAGGGGGCUUGUUCUUUGUCAAUAGUUGGAUAGAUUGGUUUCCUUACUGGGAUGUGAAACAUGACUGUACUUUUUUAUCGUUGCUCUUAGAUGUUCAUAUAAGAUUUUAGUUUCUUUGCUCGGGAAGGAAUUUUUGGUUGCAAUCUGUCUUUUGACUCUUCUUAUCCACCUGACUAAUAAGGUGAUUGUUCCCGUGAUUUGCAGUCAGGGUGCUUGCUUCCGUCUACUGCGGUAAUUUUUCGUGCAUGGUAUCGUGACUUGUCCCCAUAUUUGAGUCUGAUGCAUGGUGCUUGCUUGCAUCUAUUGUGGCGUCUAUUCCUGAAGUGCACGAGCAUGGGUGGCGUCUUUUAUUGCUUUACUCUCUCUGCCCGCUACUUGGUGGAACGUCUUUUUUUUUUUAUAUUGUGGUUUUCUCUUGUUCAAGCUUCAUUGGAAUUCAUUGAUUCAAUGUGGUUUUCUUAUAUGGAGUCUGAUGCAUGUACUUUCCAUACCUCUAGUUCACUCUCUCUGCCUGCUACAUGGAGGAACGUCUUUUUCUCCUAUGUUGAGGUUUUCUUUUAUUUUAGGUUUGUUGGCAUUCAGUUAUUGGUCAAGGAAUGUGUCUGAAUUGAUAGGCAUGCUGAGCUUGUCUUGGCUUAGCUGUGGCAGAGGCCCAACGGGUGGUUUUGUGUCUUGUUUAAUUUCUUCAAUUAUUUUUUUCUAUUUACACCACGGCUUUGUGGUUUUCAGUUAUUUAAAUUGAAAUGCAUGUUCGAUGUUGUGCUUUGGGUUUCAGAGAGCCCGAGGAUUUUGAAAGGGAGCUUGUUCUUUGUCAUAGUUGGAUGGAUGGGUUUCUUUACUGCGAUGUGAAACCUCAACUGUACUUCUACCUUAAAUUUCAGGGGAUUAUAUCAGAAUUUAGUUUCUUUGCUUGAAAAUUAACGAUGCAAUCUGUCUUUUUAUCUCUUCUCAUGUUUCCCUCCCCGAGUAAGAAGUGAUUGAUCCUGUGAUUUAUUAACUUGACUCUCUCUACCCGCUACUUGGUGGAACGUCGUUAUUCUUAUAUUAUGGUUUUCUCUUGUUCAAGCUUCACUGGAAUUCAUUGAUUCGUCGAGGAAUGUAUCUGAUCUGAUUGGCUGCUCAGCUUGUUGUAGUUGUGACAGAAGCUCAAUGGGUGGUUUUGUAUCUUAGAUAUAUUCUUCAAUAUUUUCUUUGAUACAAUACAGCUCUGUGGUUUUCAUUUACAUGUCUGAUGCUGUGCUUUGGAUUUCAGGAGAUCCAGUGGAUUUCGUAAGGGGGCUUGUUCUUUGUCAAUAGUUGGAUAGAUUGGUUUCCUUACCGGGAUGUGAAACAUGACUGUACUUUUUUAUCUUUGCUUUUAGAUGUUCAUUUCAUAUAAGAUUUUAGUUUCUUUGCUCGGGUAAGAAUUUUUGGUUGCAAUCUGUCUUUUGACUCUUCUUAUCCACCUGACUAAUAAGGUGAUUGUUCCCAUGAUUUGCAGUCAGGGUGCUUGUUUCCAUCUACUGCGGUAAUUUUUCGUGCAUGGUAUCGUUACUUGUCCCCAUAUUUGAGUCUGAUGCAUGCACUUUCCAUACCUCUAGUUCACUCUCUCUGCCUGCUACUUGGAGGAACGUUUUUUUCUCCUAUGUUGAGGUUUUCUUUUAUUUUAGGUUUGUUGGCAUUCAGUCAUUGGUCAAGGAAUGUGUCGAAUUGAUUGGCAUGCUGAGCUUGUCCUAGCUGUGGCAGAGGCCCUAGGAGUGGUUUAAUAUUUUAUUUAACUUCUUCAUUUAUUUUCUACGAUAUACACCAUGGCUUUGUGGUUUUCAGUUAUUUAAAUUGAAAUGCAUGUUCGAUGUUGUGCUUUGGGUUUCAGAGAGCCUGAGGAUUUUGAAAGGGAGCUUGUUCUUUGUCAUAGUUGGAUGGAUUGGUUUCUUUACUGCGAUGUGAAACAUCGACUGUAUUUCUACCUUUGCUUUCAGGGGAUUAUAUCAGUAUUUAGUUUCUUUGCUUGAAAAAUAACAUUUGGAUGCAAUCUGUCUUUUAUCUCUUCUCAUGUUUCCCCCCUUGAGUAAGAAGUGAUUGAUCCUGUGAUUUAUUUGCUUUCAGGCUGCUUGCUUCCAUCUAUUGCGGCGUCUAAAAGUGCGGUUCAAUAUUAAAUAAAGUUGGACAAAACUAUUCCUGAAGUGCACGAGCUUGGUUUUGUGUCGUCUUUUAUUUCUUUACUCUCUCUGCAUGCUACUUGGUGGAACGUCGUUUUUCUUAUAUUGUGGUUUUCUCUUGUUCAAGCUUCACUGGAAUUCAUUCAUUCGUCGAGGAAUGUAUCUGAUUGGCUGCUGAACUUGUUUUAGUUGUGGCAGAAGCUCAAUGGGUGGUUUUGUAUCUUAGAUAUAUUCUUCAACUAUUUUCUUUGAUACAAUACAGCGCUGUGGUUUUCAUUUACAUGUCUGAUGCUGUGCUUUGGAUUUCAGGAGAGCCAGUGGAUUUCGUAAGGGGGCUUGUUCUUUGUCAAUAGUUGGAUAGAUUGGUUUCCUUACUGGGAUGUGAAACAUGACUUCAGGGUGCUUGCUUCCGUCUACUGCGGUAAUUUUUCGUGCAUGGUAUCGUGACUUGUCCCCAUAUUUGAGUCUGAUGCAUGUUUGUUGGCAUUCAGUCAUUGGUCAAGGAAUGUGUCGAAUUGAUUGGCAUGCUGAGCUUGUCCUAGCUGUGGCAGAGGCCCUAGGAGUGGUUUAAUAUCUUAUUUAACUUCUUCAUUUAUUUUCUACGAUAUACACCAUGGCUUUGUGGUUUUCAGUUAUUUAAAUUGAAAUGCAUGUUCGAUGUUGUGCUUUGGGUUUCAGAGAGCCCGAGGAUUUUGAAAGGGAGCUUGUUCUUUGUCAGAGUUGGAUGGAUGGGUUUCUUUACUGCGAUGUGAAACCUCAACUGUACUUCUACCUUAACUUUCAGGGGAUUAUAUCAGAAUUUAGUUUCUUUGCUUGAAAAUUAACGAUGCAAUCUGUCUUUUUAUCUCUUCUCAUGUUUCCCUCCCCGAGUAAGAAGUGAUUGAUCCUGUGAUUUAUUAACUUGACUCUCUCUACCCGCUACUUGGUGGAACGUCGUUAUUCUUAUAUUAUGGUUUUCUCUUGUUCAAGCUUCACUGGAAUUCAUUGAUUCGUCGAGGAAUGUAUCUGAUCUGAUUGGCUGCUCAGCUUGUUGUAGUUGUGGCAGAAGCUCAAUGGGUGGUUUUGUAUCUUAGAUAUAUUCUUCAAUAUUUUCUUUGAUACAAUACAGCUCUGUGGUUUUCAUUUACAUGUCUGAUGCUGUGCUUUGGAUUUCAGGAGAUCCAGUGGAUUUCGUAAGGGGGCUUGUUCUUUGUCAAUAGUUGGAUAGAUUGGUUUCCUUACCGGGAUGUGAAACAUGACUUCAGGGUGCUUGCUUCCAUCUACUGCGGUAAUUUUUCGUGCAUGGUACCGUUACUUGUCCCCAUAUUUGAGUCUGAUGUAUGCACUUUCCAUACCUCUAGUUCACUCUCUCUGCCUGCUACUUGGAGGAACGUUUUUUUCUCCUAUGUUGAGGUUUUCUUUUAUUUUAGGUUUGUUGGCAUUCAAUUAUAGGUCAAGGAAUGUGUCUGAAUUGAUUGGCAUGGUGAGCUUGUCUUGGCUUAGCAGUGGCAGAGGCCCAAUGGGUGGUUUUGUAUCUUAUUUAACUUCAAUUAUUUUUUUCGAUAUACACCACGGCUUUGUGGUUUUCAGUUAUUUAAAUUGAAAUGCAUGUUCGAUGUUGUGCUUUGGGUUUCAGGAGAGCCUGAUGAUUUUGAAAGGGAGCUUGUUCUUUGUCAUAGUUGGAUGGAUCGGUUUCUUUACUGCGAUGUGAAACGUCGACUGUACUUCUACUUUUGCUUUCAGGGGAUUAUUAUCAGAAUUUUGUUUCUUUGCUUGAAAAAUAACUUUUGGAUGCAAUCUGUCUUUUUAUCUCUUCUCAGGUUUCCCCCUUGAGUAAGAAGUGGUUGAUCCUGUGAUUUAUUUGCUUUCAGGGUGCUUGCUUCCAUCUGUUGCGGCGUCUAAAAGUGGGGUUCAGUCUUAAAUAAAGUUGGACAAACUAUUCCUGAAGUGCACGAGCAUGGUUUUGUGUUGUAUUUUAUUACUUUACUCUCUCUGCCCGCUACUUGGUGGAACGUCUUUUUUCUUAUAUUGUGGAUUUUUCUUGUUCAAGCUUCAUUGGAGUUCAUUGAUUCGUCGAGGAAUGUAUCUGAUCUUAUUGGCUGCUGAGCUUGUUUUAGUUGUGGCAGAAGCUCAAUGGGUGGUUUUGUAUCUUAGAUAUAUUCUCCAAUUAUUUUCUUUGAUAAUACAGUUGUCGUUUUCAGUUAUUUAAAUUGAAAUGCCUGUUCGAUGCUGUGCUUUGGGUUUCAGGAGAGCCUGAUGAUUUUGAAAGGGAGCUUGUUCUUUGUCAUAGUUGGAUGGAUCGGUUUCUUUACUGCGAUGUGAAACGUCGACUGUACUUCUACCUUUGCUCUCAGGGGGUUAUGUCAGAUUUUAGUUUCUUUGCUUGAAAACUAACUUUCGGAUGCAAUCUGUCUUUCAUCUCUUCUCAUGUUUCCCCCCCUUGAGUAAAAAGUGACUGAUCCUGUUAUUUAUUUGCUUUCAGGGUGCUUGCUCCAUGUAUUGCGGCGUCUAAAAGUGCGGUUCAAUCUGAAGUAAAGUUGGACAGACAAACUAUUCCUGAAGUGCACGAGCAUGGUUUUGUGUCAUCUUUUAUUGCUUUACUCUCUCUGCCAGCUACUUGGUGGAACGUCUUUUUUCUUAAAUUGUGGUUUUCUCUUGUUCAAGCUUCAUUGGAAUUCAUUGAUUUGUCGAGGAAUGUAUCUGACCUGAUUGGCUGCUGAGCUUGUUUUAGUUGUGGCAGAAGCUCAAUGGGUGGUUUUGUAUCUUAGAUAUAUUCUCCAAUUAUUUUCUUUGAUAAUACAGUUGUCGUUUUCAGUUAUUUAAAUUGAAAUGCCUGUUCGAUGCUGUGCUUUGGGUUUCAGGAGAGCCUGAUGAUUUUGAAAGGGAGCUUGUUCUUUGUCAUAGUUGGAUGGAUCGGUUUCUUUACUGCGAUGUGAAACGUCGACUGUACUUCUACCUUUGCUCUCAGGGGGUUAUGUCAGAUUUUAGUUUCUUUGCUUGAAAACUAACUUUCGGAUGCAAUCUGUCUUUCAUCUCUUCUCAUGUUUCCCCCCUUGAGUAAAAAGUGACUGAUCCUGUUAUUUAUUUGCUUUCAGGGUGCUUGCUCCAUGUAUUGCGGCGUCUAAAAGUGCGGUUCAAUCUGAAGUAAAGUUGGACAGACAAACUAUUCCUGAAGUGCACGAGCAUGGUUUUGUGUCAUCUUUUAUUGCUUUACUCUCUCUGCCCGCUACUUGGUGGAACGUCUUUUUUCUUAAAUUGUGGUUUUCUCUUGUUCAAGCUUCAUUGGAAUUCAUUGAUUUGUCGAGGAAUGUAUCUGACCUGAUUGGCUGCUGAGCUUGUUUUAGUUGUGGCAGAAGCUCAAUGGGUGGUUUUGUAUCUUAGAUAUAUUCUUCAACUAUUUUCUUUGAUACAAUACAGCUCUGUGGUUUUCAUUUACAUGUCUGAUGUUGUGCUUUGGUUGUCAGGAGAGCCAUUGGUUUUGUAAGGGGCUUGUUCUUUGUCAAUAGUUGGAUAGAUUGGUUUCCUUACAGGGAUGUGAAACAUGACUGUACUUUUUUAUCUUUGCUUUUAGAUGUUUAUAUAAGAUUUUAGUUUCUUUGCGCGGGAAAGAAUUUUUGGUUGCGUUCUGUCUUUUGACUCUUCUUAUGUUCCCCACCUGACUAAGAAGUGAUUGUUCCUGUGAUUUGCAGUCAGGGUGCUUGAUUCAGUCUAUUGCGGUAGUUUCUCAAGUAUGGUAUCAUGACUUGUCCCAUUAUUUGAGUCUGAUGCAUGUACUUUCCAUACCUCUAGUUCACUCUCUCUGCCUGCUACUUGGAGAUGUUAACGGUGAAAAUUUAUCUUGGAGAAGAUUUAAGUAAUUUGAAGUUGAAUUAAAAGUGAAGGGCUUUGGCGACUACGAGAGCUGCAUUGGAGAAUAAGUUCCUUAUUUUGCUCUUUUAAGUUGAUGUAAUACAUGCUAAUUUCAUCAACUUUAUGACGUCUUCUGUAGUUUAAUUAGUUGAUGUCUUGUCUAGGUUUGUCUAUUGACAGCAAUUGGGGAAAUAUUUAUGAACUUCCAUUGAGUUCCUGUAAUUUUGUAAUGUGAGCUUUCAUGUUAAGCUGGUAGUUCAAUGAUGGGAUUAUUUUUUUGUGUCAUUUCUUGCUUAUGUUGUUGUUUAUGGAUUAUUCUUUUGCAGGACAGAUGCUGAUUUCUUAUGUUACCGUGUGUGGAUAAAGGUUUUAUUGAGUUUUGGCUUAUUUUUCUGUAGUUGUUUAUAGUUUUGGUUACUUAAGGCGAAGAUCGUUAUCUUUUUAUGUUUCAUUGCCUUGUACGUCUGUUGUAUACUAGGUGCGAACUUUGAGGAUGAAAAUGCCCUGUUCUUAAUUAGUAGAUCGGAAGGAAGAUCUCUCAAUGUCAAAGGAUGGAAGGAUUUAUGUGAGGCUUUUCUUAGCCUUCUGAAUCAGAGUUCACUGAAGAUACUUACUGCUCUACUUUAUUUUUGGAGUAGCUAUUUCAUAUGGUGUAGUGUAAGUAGUAGGAAGAUCUGAAUUAUAUGAAAAAUUGAAGCUUUAUAUGGUUCAGUUGGGUUAUUCGAUUUUGUCUAUUUAGUAGGGUUGUUGACAAGAUGGUAAUGUGAUGAUCCAGCCAUCAUGGGAGGUGAUGAUUUCAGGUUUUUAGGGUUCUACCGCUCUUGUUAAUUUUUUUGUGUUUCUUUACCAUCUUCAUUGUUGUGCAUAUAUGAAGAAGAAAUUAUUUUAAGGAGCUGAAGUUGUUCUGGCUGAAGCUGAAAUUAUUGUUUGUGUAGACACAAUUGAGCGGCGAAAGAUAUUGUUAGGCGAUAUGGUAGAUUACCUGGAUGUGUUGAGUAGUUCUUUGGUUAUUGAACUUGUUUGAAGAAUAAGUUUCUCAUUUCACUCUAUUAUGUUGAACUUGUUAAUUUGAUCAACUUCAUCAUAUCUGGGGGUUGGUUUAUUUAGUUGUUCGGUAGAUUUAUGUAUCGAAUAUGGUUGAACAGGGAAAUUUACUCGAAAUUCCGAUUCCCUUGUGUUUUUGUAGUUUGUGGCUGAGCUUUUAUGUUAAGCCUGGAAUUUUAAUGGGAAGAGCCGCUUUUCAAUUUUGCGUGUAGGUAUAUGGAUUUUCUUUUGGUUUUGCUUAAUCAUCGGUUUCUUGCUUAUGUUGUGUAUGGAUUUUAUUAUGUUGCAGGAAAGAUGUUGAUUGCUUAUGUUAUCAUGUACAGAUCUUAAGCUUCUGUUCUGUUGGUAUUUGACCUUUUACUUACGUUUGUCGUAUCUUUGGUCAUUUGGCUUAUCUGUGCUCGUGUGAGUGCAGGUUUAUCAUUUCCCUUGAAAAGGGUGUUCUCACGUUAGUAUCUCGAGGUUUGUGACUGUUAAGUUAUUAUAUAAAGCGAACAUGCUUGCUUAAGCAUUGUGAAACUACCCUACGACUUGCUGCACCUUCACGGUUACCGACUCAUUAUCCCUUUCUGUUUGAACUCGUUUGUUUUGAGCUUAGUCGAGGUUGACCCCAUUUGGCCUUAUUAUGCUAGGUUUAAGCUAUCUAUGGUAGUGAAGUGACACUAUCCGAGGGAGGCAUGCUAUUCUAGUGUGGUAUGGUUUCCUAUCUGUAGCUAUUAUUGUAAUUUAUGUUGGUCGUUAUUUGAACUUUGAAUAGAUGUUUUAUGAAGUCCACCAUUGUUUAAGGUUCCAGACUUAAGUUUACUGGAUUGUAUAAGCAUCACCUUUGGUUCAUCUGCCUUGGAUCUUCAGUAUUCAACACGGGACUGAGAUUCAGUUUCAAUGGAUACAUUUUGGCAUUUCUGUUUUACUCAAUGUGCUGAAGAUAUGUGAAACUCAACAUGCAUGGUGCCUUCUGAUUUCAAUUAGUACAUUUGGUAUUUUUGUUUUACUCAAUGUGCAGAGGGUAUCUCAAACUAGGAAACUAGACAUCAACAACGCUAUGAAAGUAGUGCUAUAACUUCAUAUUCUCUGCCCUGUUUCUUGGAGGAAUUAUUUGUUUUUAUUAAGGCUUAGCUGGUGUUAGUAAAACAGCCGGGGUCUAUCUGAUUUGGUUUACUGGGCAGAUUAUUCAAAACAUGUUAGAAUUUUCAGGCUUGAUCGUGUGGUCUACUUUUAACGUUGUAAAUACGUGACAAUCUUCUUAUCUUCGUGUGAAGGCAGCAGUGGCCCAUCUCUUGCAAUGGCUUUGUCUCAGGUCUUCUUUUUUGUCUUUUAUUUUUUUAAACAAACCUUCUUUUGAAUUUUCUCACUUAGGUUUUGGAAUAUGCAGAGUGAAACAUAUGCUUCCUAACUUAUAUGCCAAUGAGAAAGUUUACUUAUCGAGUUUCUCCAGUUUCUUUUGUAACAUAUGCUCAUUAAGCUUAUGUUCUUGUUGUCCUCGUCAAUAUUGUUCUCGUGUUGCAAAUUUAGUUGUUGGUUUGCCUCCUCCUCACAGGUCCAUUUGGUCACUACAUCCAGCUUUUCUGCGGAUAUGGGGGUUUCAUGUUCUUUGACAUAUAAGUUGUGAAGUUCUGUGAUCUUCUAUGUGGCAAUCACUUCGCAAUCAAUUUUUAAGAAAGAAACUGCUAAAUUUUAGUGUCUCUGAUGUAUAACAUCGUGCUUUGAUAACAGGGGAGCCAGUGCAUUUGGAAAGGGAGCUUGUUGUUUGUCAUGGAGGGAUUGGUUUUCUUACUGUGAUGUGCAACGGCGACUUUGCUUUUAGGAGUUUAUGUCGGGUUUUAGUUAUAGUUUCUUUGCUUGAGAAAGAAUUUUUGGUUGCAAUCUGUCUUUUGUCUCUUCUUAUGUUUCCCCAUGUCCAACAAGUGAUUGUCCUGUAAUUUGUUUGCUGUCAGGUACUUGUUUCCAGCUACUGUGAUUUAUUUAGUUGUGGCAGAAGCUCAAUCGGUGGUUUUGUAUCUUAUUUAUCUUCUUCGGCGAUUUUUUCGAUAUACAACACAGGUGUGUUUUUCAUUUAUCUAAAUUUGAAUAUGAAUCUGAUGUAUUACAUUGUGCUCUGGAUUUCAGGAGAGCCAAGAGGAUUUGGAAAGGGAGCUUAUUUUGUGUCACAGUCGGAUAGAUUGGUUCCUUAGUAGGAUGAAAAACAUCAGACUGAACUUUUAACUUCGCUUUUAGGGGUUUAUAUCAGCUUUUAAUUUUUUUGCUUCAGAAAGAAUUUUUGGUUGUGAUCUGUCUUUUGUCUGUUCUUAUGUUUUCUCCUUGACUAGAAAGUGACUGUUCCUAAAUUUAUUUGGUGUCUGGGUGCUUGCUUCCAGCUACUGUGAUUUAUUUGGUCGUGGAACACAUGAAUUUAUAGGCUGCGGAGCUUGUCUUUUUUAUCUUCUUCGGCUAUUUUCUUCAAUAUACAACACAGGAGAGCCAACCUCUGUAAUAGUUGGAUGGAUUAGUUCCCUUACUGGGAUGUGAAACAUCAACUGAACUUUUAACUCUGCUUUUCAGGGUUCAUAUUAGAUUUUAGUUUCUUUGUUUCGAAAAGAACUUUUGGUAGCAAUCUGUCUUUUGUUUCUUCUUAUGUUUCUCAUUUAUAUAAAUUUGAAUAUAAAUUUGAUGUAUACAUUGUGCUCUGGAUUUCAGGAAAGCCUAGAGGAUUUGGAAGGGAGCUUAUUCUCUGGUCAUAGUUGAAUAGAUUGGUUCCUUUCUGGGAUGUGAAAUGUCGAUAGAGCUUUUAACUUCGCUUUUAGGGGUUUAUGUCAGAUUUUAAUUUCUCCGCUUCAGCAAGAAUUGCGAUCUGUUUUUUUUUGUCUCUGCUUUUGUUUCCUCCUUGACUAGCAAGUGACUGUUCUUAUAAUUUAUCUGCUGUCAGGGUGCUUCCUUCCAGCUAUUGGAUUUAUUUGGUCGUGGAUCGUAUCUGAAUUUAUUGGCUGCGGAGCUUGUCUCAGUUGUGGCAGAAGCCCGAGGGGUGGUUUUGUAUCUUAUUUAUGUUCUUCAGCUAUUUUCUUCGAUACAUAACACAGGUUUGCUUUGAAUAUAAAUCUGAUGUAUUGCAUUGUGCUUUGGAUUUCAGGAGAGCCAACCUCUGUAAUAGUUGGAUGGAUUGGUUCCCUUACGGGGGUGGGAAGCGUCUACUGAACUUUUAACUUUGCUUUUAAGGGUUCAUGUCAGAUUUUAGUUUCUUUGUUUCGAAAAGAAUGUUUGGUUGCAAUUUGUCUUUUGUUUCUUCUUAUGUUUCCUACUUGACCAACAAGUGAUUGUUAUUUGUUCCUAUGAUUUAUUUGCUGUCAGGGUUCUUGCUUCCAGUUACUGCGUAUGUGAUUUGAUUGGCUGCGAAGCUUGUCUUAGUUAUGGCAGAAGCUUGUCUUGUUUGUCUUCUUUGGCUAUUUUCUUUGAUAUACAACACAAAACACAAUUGUGCUCUGUAUUUAAGGAGAGCUUGAGGAUUUGGGGAAGGAGCUUGUUCUCUAUGAUAGUUGGAUGGAUUGGUUUCCUUUCUGGGGUGUAACUUUGUUUGUAGGGGUUUAUAUGUGAAACUUGCGACUGAACUUUUUAACUUCGCUUUUAGAGGGUGUUUGCUUCCAGCUGUGGUGGUUUAUUUCGUCGAGGAAUGUAUCUGAUUUGAUUGGCUGCUGAGCUUGUCUUAGUUGUGGCUGAAACUUGAUGGGUGGUUUGAAUCUUUUUUAUUUUCUUCGGCUAUUUUUUUCGAUAUACAACACAGGUGUGUUUUUCAUUUAUCUAAAUUUGAAUUAAAUCUGAUGUAUUACGUUGUGCUUUGGAUUUCAGGGGAGCCAGAGAAUGGUUUGGAUUUCAGGGGAGCCAGAGAAUUUGGGAAGGAAGCUUAUUCUCUGUCAUAGUUGGAUAGAUUGGUUUCCUAACUUGGAUGUGAAAUGUUGACUCAACUUGUAACAUUGGUUUUAGGGGUUUGUAUCAGAUUUUAAUUAUUCCUAGCAAGUGAUUGUUCCUAUUUAUUUAUUUAUUUUCUGUCAGGGUGCUUGCUUCCACUGAUUUAUUUGGUCGAGGAAUGUAUUUGAAUUUAUUGGCUGCGGAGCUUGUCUUACUUGUCGCAAACGCCCGAUUGGUGGUUUUGUAUCUUAUUUAUCUUCGGCUAUUUUUUUGAUAUACAACACAGGUGUGUUUCUCAUUUAUCUAAAUUUGAAUAUAAAUCUGAUGUAUAUUGCAUUGUGCUUUGGAUUUCAGCGGAGCAAGAAGAUUUGGAAAGGAAGCUUAUUCUCUGUAAUAGUUGGAUGGAUUGGUUUCCUUACUGGGAUGUGAAACGUCGACUGUACUGGGGUUCAUGUCAGAUUUUAGUUUCUUUGUUUCGAAAAGAAUUUUUGGUUGCAAUCUUAUGUUUCCAACUUGACUCUUAUGUUUCCUACUUGACCAACAAGUGAUUGUUCCAAUAAUUUAUUUGCUGUCAGGAUGCUUGCUUCCUGCUACUGUGAUUUAUAUGGUCGAGGCUAUUUUCUUCGAUAUACAACACAGGUAUGUUUUUCAUUUAUCUGAAUUUGAAUUAAAUCUGAUGUAUUAUGUUAGCUUCGGAUUUCAGGAGAGCCAGAGGAUUUGGAGAGGGAGCUUAUUCUCUGUCAUAGUUGGAUGGAUUGGUUUCCUAACAUGGAUGUGAAACGUUGACUGAGCUUUUAACUUCGGUUUUAGGGGUUUAUAUCAGAUUUUAAUCUCUUCGCUUUAGAAAGAAUUUUUGGUUGCAAUCUGUGUUUUGUCUCUUCUUAUGUUUCUUACUCGACCAACAAGUGAUUGUUCCUAUAAUUUAUUUGCUAUCUGGGUGCUUGCUUCCAGCUACUGUAAUUUAUUUGGUCUAGGAACUUGUGCUGCGGUGCUUGUCUUCGUUGUGGCAGAAACUCGAUGGGUGGUUUUGUAUCUUGUUUAUGUUGUUCAGAGUCGAGUCUCUUAUUGCAUCAAGGAUCUCCAACAAGUCAUUAACUAUUUCGAUCGUGGGAAUGCGCAACAUAAGUUAUUAUCUCCAUUGUAGUAAUAUGACCAAUAUCUUUGCCAAAUCAGCCAGUACAGCUCGGCAUAUUUGGUAGCAAAAUUGGGAAAUGGAGCUUGUUCUCUGUCGUAGUUGGAUGAUUGGUUUCCUUACUAGCAUUUGAUUUGUCGACUGAACUUUUGACUUUGGUUUUAGGAGUUGAUAUCAGAUUUUAAUUUAUUCGCUUCCGAAAAGAAUUUUUGGUUGCAGCUGUGGAACGACUCUUCUUAUGUUUUCACCUUUGACUAAGAAGUGAUAUUGUUCCUCACUUCCUAUGGUCUGUUUGCAGUCAGGAUGCUUGCUUCCAGAUACUGUGGUUUUAUUGGCUGCAGAGCUUGUCUUAGUUGUGGCCGAAGCUCCAUGGGUGGUUUUGCAUCUUAGUUAUCUUCUUUGGAGACCAGAGGAUCGGAAAUGGAGCUUGUUCUCUUUUUUAGUUGGAUGGAUUGGUUUCCUUGGUGGGAUGUGAAAUGUCAACUGAACUUCUAUAAGUAGCUGUGGAGUCGCUGGGAGUUCCAGAUUCCAUCAUUUGAAACUCAGUGAUGGAAAUCUUGUUGCGUGGCAAUCGUUAUCUUAUAAAUUGGGACUUACAUAGUGGGACACUGCACGCGCCUUUGCAGAAGUACAAUACCCUGUCUAUGAUAUAUACUGGAGUAUAUUUGAGGAUAAAUACCACGUUCCAGCCAGUUCACUGCUGAUUCGAUUGCUAUGAGCAAUGCAGAUUUCAUAAUCACCAAUACAUAUUAAGAGAUCGAUGGAAGAUAUCCCUCGGAACAUUUUUUGGCGUAUAAUCAAAAUACGGUUGGACAGUGUGAGAGCCACACAACGUUCACUCUUCUGGGAUUAUGCAGAGUGGUUCAUGGCAUUGAUGUUUUUGACCUCAAGAUUAGUAUUGCUUCACCCAUCACUUCCCAUACUUUGAAAAGGACAAAAGACUUAUCUUUACAUGGUUCAAUUGAAAAGUUGUUAUAUGAUCCAGACCAGAUCGACCAAACACAUAGGUACUUUGAGCGACCGGUCCAAACCCAUUAAUCUUUUCCAAGGUGAGGCUUGAUCGAGUAAAAAACAUAACAGGACUGGUGGAGUGGUAUGUUAAAAAUACUAGACUCAGAUGCUGUAAACCUUGUUGUGGUUGCUGGUUACAAUGAUGUCAACAAAUCCAACGACAGGGAAGAAAUUGCUGAGAUUGAGAAGAUGCAUGACCUAAUGAAGCAGUACAACUUGAAUGGCCAAUUUAGAUGGAUGUCAGCACAGAUGAACAGCACCGCUACAUUGCUGAUGCAUGAGGAGCAUUUGUGCAACCUGCUCUCUAAGAAGCAUGUGGCCUUACAGUUGUGGAGGUGAUACUUGUGGUCUUCCAACAUUUGCUGCUGGUCCAUAUCACUCUAAUCAGGAGGGUGAACUCAUGGCAGAUUUUUUUGAGUGCUGCAAGAAGGAACCUAGCCACUGGGAUUAGAUCUCCUCUGCGGGGCUUCAGUGGAUUUUAUUACAGGAAUACUUGGAAGAUCUAUUCAGAAAGACUAAUGACACUAGCGGGUGUUCAUGGUUUUUGGAAGAAUGUCUCAAAACUUGAAAGGUGUGAGACCGGCGAUACUUAGAGAUGUUUUAUAUUCUGAAGUUCUGGGAUCUUGCAAAAUCUGUUCCAGUGGUUCCAGAAGCAGUUGGCCAUGGUCACUGAAGUAUAUUUAGAGAUGGUAUUUAUUGUUAUCAAGUAAUGUUGUCCACGAAAUCAAUUUACCUGAACAGUGUAAAAUAUCAAACAAGAAUCCAUGAACAUCCAGAUGGAUGUAUAAACGGUUUGCAAGUAGUAAUUUGUUUGGUAAAAACAAUUGAAUGAUAAGUGAUUGGAAUACAAUUUUGUUUGCAAUCUCAUGUUCUUUCAAUUCUGACGAAAACCGAUGACGGUUUGAUGGUGGCUGUCUUUCGAAGUGAGCAGAGGUUAUGGAAACAGAGUUAACUUCAUAUCAUUGUUCAUUUAACUCUGGAUGCACAACUUGGUUCAAACCAGAGUAAAAUGGGUUAUUAUUAGAAGGUAGCCAGUCAAAUGAUUCUGGUGUGAAUUGAUUUGCUUCCGUAGAAUUAUUGAUAUCUCUAUAACCUUGGUGAAAUGUUAAACUAUUGCACUCCGAAGUGUUAUGUUAUAUUUUUUUGA
This is a long non-coding RNA of Papaver somniferum (opium poppy), 17616 nucleotides long. RefSeq lists it as uncharacterized. NCBI's taxonomy places the organism in Eukaryota, Viridiplantae, Streptophyta, Magnoliopsida, Ranunculales, Papaveraceae. The transcript has 16 exons. The record is from RefSeq and is a predicted model, not a curated record.